Molecule: ribosomal RNA, 751 nt
Filed under: uncultured Pseudomonas sp.
Lineage: Bacteria; Pseudomonadati; Pseudomonadota; Gammaproteobacteria; Pseudomonadales; Pseudomonadaceae
Description: bacterial SSU rRNA
Rfam family: Bacterial small subunit ribosomal RNA
Source: RNAcentral
AUAAAAGCGGCGGCAGGCCUAACACAUGCAAGUCGAGCGGUAGAGAGAAGCUUGCUUCUCUUGAGAGCGGCGGACGGGUGAGUAAUGCCUAGGAAUCUGCCUGGUAGUGGGGGAUAACGUUCGGAAACGGACGCUAAUACCGCAUACGUCCUACGGGAGAAAGCAGGGGACCUUCGGGCCUUGCGCUAUCAGAUGAGCCUAGGUCGGAUUAGCUAGUUGGUGAGGUAAUGGCUCACCAAGGCGACGAUCCGUAACUGGUCUGAGAGGAUGAUCAGUCACACUGGAACUGAGACACGGUCCAGACUCCUACGGGAGGCAGCAGUGGGGAAUAUUGGACAAUGGGCGAAAGCCUGAUCCAGCCAUGCCGCGUGUGUGAAGAAGGUCUUCGGAUUGUAAAGCACUUUAAGUUGGGAGGAAGGGUUGUAGAUUAAUACUCUGCAAUUUUGACGUUACCGACAGAAUAAGCACCGGCUAACUCUGUGCCAGCAGCCGCGGUAAUACAGAGGGUGCAAGCGUUAAUCGGAAUUACUGGGCGUAAAGCGCGCGUAGGUGGUUUGUUAAGUUGGAUGUGAAAUCCCCGGGCUCAACCUGGGAACUGCAUUCAAAACUGACUGACUAGAGUAUGGUAGAGGGUGGUGGAAUUUCCUGUGUAGCGGUGAAAUGCGUAGAUAUAGGAAGGAACACCAGUGGCGAAGGCGACCACCUGGACUAAUACUGACACUGAGGUGCGAAAGCGUGGGGAGCAAACAGG